This 497-nucleotide ribosomal RNA is filed under the name uncultured bacterium. Its description in RNAcentral is "partial 16S ribosomal RNA". It matches the Rfam family "Bacterial small subunit ribosomal RNA", at positions 28 to 507 of the family's 1533-position model. The record is from RNAcentral.
GAUGAACGCUGGCGGCGUGCCUAAUACAUGCAAGUCGAGCGAACAGACGAGGAGCUUGCUCCUCUGACGUUAGCGGCGGACGGGUGAGUAACACGUGGAUAACCUACCUAUAAGACUGGGAUAACUUCGGGAAACCGGAGCUAAUACCGGAUAAUAUAUUGAACCGCAUGGUUCCAUAGUGAAAGACGGUUUUGCUGUCACUUAUAGAUGGAUCCGCGCCGCAUUAGCUAGUUGGUAAGGUAACGGCUUACCAAGGCAACGAUGCGUAGCCGACCUGAGAGGGUGGUAGGCCACACUGGAACUGAGACACGGUACAGACUCCUACGGGAGGCAGCAGUAGGGAAUCUUCCGCAGAGGGCGAAAGCCUGACGGAGCAAAGCCGCGUGAGUGAUGAAGGUCUGCGGAUCGUAAAACUCUGUUAUUAGGGAAGAACAAAUGUGUAAGUAACUAUGCACGUCUUGACGGUACCUAAUCAGAAAGCCACGGCUAACUACGUG